AUUGAACGCUGGCGGCAUGCCUUACACAUGCAAGUCGAACGGCAGCGCGGGAGCAAUCCUGGCGGCGAGUGGCGAACGGGUGAGUAAUACAUCGGAACGUGCCCAAUCGUGGGGGAUAACGCAGCGAAAGCUGUGCUAAUACCGCAUACGAUCUACGUAUGAAAGCAGGGGAGCGCAAGACCUUGCGCGAUUGGAGCGGCCGAUGGCAGAUUAGGUAGUUGGUGGGGUGAAGGCUCACCAGGCCUUCAAUCUGUAGAGGGUCUGUGAGGACGACCAGCCACACUGGGACUGGGACACGGCCACGACUCCUACGGGAGGCAGCAGUGGGGAAUUUUAGACAAUGGGCGAAAGCCUGAUCCAGCCAUGCCGCGUGCAGGAUAAAGGCCUUCGGGUUGUAAACUGCUUUUGUACGGAACGAAACGGUCUUUUCUAAUAAAGAAGGCUAAUGACGGUACCGGAAGAAUAAGCACCGGCUAACUACGUG
RNAcentral lists this ribosomal RNA (484 nucleotides) under uncultured bacterium. RNAcentral describes it as "partial 16S ribosomal RNA". It matches the Rfam family "Bacterial small subunit ribosomal RNA", at positions 30 to 507 of the family's 1533-position model. The record is from RNAcentral.